This 30-nucleotide non-coding RNA is filed under the name Homo sapiens (human). Lineage: Eukaryota; Metazoa; Chordata; Mammalia; Primates; Hominidae. The record is from RNAcentral.
UGCUGAUGAUGUGAGCAUGGCCUGUCCACC